Long non-coding RNA from Homo sapiens (human), 536 nucleotides. The record is from Ensembl. NCBI's taxonomy places the organism in Eukaryota, Metazoa, Chordata, Mammalia, Primates, Hominidae.
GUGGAACAAACACGGGCACCUACUUUAGGUUUAUUGAUUUUGCUUUCCAAGGGCUAAUUCCUUUAAACCUGCUGCUUAUAUUUUGACUGAGUCAGUGCUGCUGCUACAGUUAAAUAAGUUGAAGAUCUUGUAAGGAAUUUUAGCCUGUUUUUUUAAGACUCAUCUAACAGGUGGGUGGAUCAUUUGGGGUCAGGAGUUUGAGACCAGCCUGGCCAACAUGGUGAAACCCCAUCUCUACUAAAAAUACAAAAAUUAGCCAGGCUUGGUGGCACAUGCCUGUAAUCCCAGUUACUCAGGAGGCUGAGGCAGGAGAAUCACUUGAACCUGGGAGGCAGAGGUUAUAGUGAGCCAAGAUGGCGCCACUGCACUCCAGCCUGGACAAGAGUGAGACUCCCUCUAAAAAAAAAAAAAAACCUUUGCAUAUGAGCUGCAGCAAUAAAAGUGCUAUGAGACCCAACCUCUCUGUAACCGUAUUCUUUGAAAGCUGUGGAAUAAGGCCAAGUGCAGUGGCUCACAUCUAAUCCCAGCACUUUGGA